CCUACGAGAGGCAGCAGUGGGGAAUAUUGCGCAAUGGGCGAAAGCCUGACGCCGCGACGCCGCGUGAGGGUUGGAGGUCUUCGGAUCGUAAACCUCUGUCAGCAGGGAAGAACGGUCACUGUGCUAAUCAGCAGUGAAUUGACGGUACCUGCAAAGGAAGCACCGGCUAACUCCGUCCCCGCAGCCGAGGUAAUACGGCGGGUGCGAGCGUUAAUCGGAAUUACUGGGCGUAAGGCGCUCGUAGGCGGGAUGUGAAGUCAAGGGUGAAAUCUCCGCGCUCAACGUGGGAACUGACUUUGAAACUGGCAAACAGGAGUGUGUGAGAGGAUAGUGGAAUUCCAGGUGUAGGAGUGAAAUCCGUAGAUAUCUGGAGGAACAUCAGUGGCGAAGGCGACUAUCUGGCACAUAACUGACGCUGAGGAGCGAAAGCGUGGGUAGCAAACAGGAUUAGAUACCCCAGUAGUC
RNAcentral lists this ribosomal RNA (465 nucleotides) under uncultured bacterium. Its description in RNAcentral is "partial 16S ribosomal RNA". It matches the Rfam family "Bacterial small subunit ribosomal RNA", at positions 338 to 795 of the family's 1533-position model. The record is from RNAcentral.